GUGGGGAAUUUUGGACAAUGGGCGCAAGCCUGAUCCAGCAAUGCCGCGUGCAGGAAGAAGGCCUUCGGGUUGUAAACUGCUUUUGUACGGAACGAAACGGUCCGGGUUAAUACCCUGGGCUAAUGACGGUACCGUAAGAAUAAGCACCGGCUAACUACGUGCCAGCAGCCGCGGUAAUACGUAGGGUGCAAGCGUUAAUCGGACUUACUGGGCGUAAAGCGUGCGCAGGCGGUUUUGUAAGACAGGCGUGAAAUCCCCGGGCUCAACCUGGGAAUUGCGCUUGUGACUGCAAGGCUGGAGUGCGGCAGAGGGGGAUGGAAUUCCGCGUGUAGCAGUGAAAUGCGUAGAUAUGCGGAGGAACACCGAUGGCGAAGGCAAUCCCCUGGGCCUGCACUGACGCUCAUGCACGAAAGCGUGGGGAGCAAACAGGAUUAGAAACCCGGGUAGUCC
This 450-nucleotide ribosomal RNA is filed under the name uncultured bacterium. RNAcentral describes it as "bacterial SSU rRNA". It matches the Rfam family "Bacterial small subunit ribosomal RNA", at positions 354 to 796 of the family's 1533-position model. The record is from RNAcentral.